Molecule: long non-coding RNA, 408 nt
Organism: Mangifera indica (mango)
Lineage: Eukaryota; Viridiplantae; Streptophyta; Magnoliopsida; Sapindales; Anacardiaceae
Exons: 2
Source: RefSeq, a predicted model, not a curated record
UUAUAAAUAUAUGUUUGAGUUUUAAAAGAGGGAGGAGAAGAAAAUAUUAGGGUUUGGGUUUGAGGGCAGCCACCUUUGGCUGAUUUAGGGAGGUCUCCGGCGCCUCGAAUGGCCGGAAAAUGGGAGAUCUCCGGCGUCUCGAAUGACCGGAAAAUGGGAGGUCCCGAAUUCCUCGAAUUAUUCGGUUUAUCUUGUAAUGUUUUUAGUAAUGAAAUAUUUUAAUUAUUAUGUAUUUUAUGUUUUGAUUAAAUAAAUGUGGGUUCCUAACAAAUGGUAUCAGAGCGCGUUCGAUCCAACGGAGAAGAUAGAUGAUGGUCGGAAAAGUGAUGAGUCGCCGGAAAAUGUUCAUGGAGGAGGCUGACUUGAAGAAAAAUCAUCACAGAGAGAAAUGAGUCCGAAGGCGCAAAA